Molecule: ribosomal RNA, 253 nt
Filed under: uncultured bacterium
Lineage: Bacteria
Description: partial 16S ribosomal RNA
Rfam family: Bacterial small subunit ribosomal RNA
Source: RNAcentral
UACGGGGGGGGCAAGCGUUGUUCGGAAUUACUGGGCGUAAAGGGCGCGUAGGCGGCCUUCUAAGUCGGACGUGAAAUCCCUCGGCUUAACCGAGGAACUGCGUCCGAUACUGAAAGGCUUGAAUCCGGGAGAGGGAUGUGGAAUUCCAGGUGUAGCGGUGAAAUGCGUAGAUAUUGGGAGGAACACCAGUGGCGAAGGCGGCUCACUGGACCGGUUCUGACGCUGAGGCGCGAAAGCGUGGGGAGCAAACGGG